UGUUAAAUUUUUAUACGACCGCAAAAAUUUUAAUUUUUCGUCGUAUAUUGCUAUCACGUUGGCGUCGUCGUCCUGCGUCGUCGUCGUCGUCGUCGUCCGAAUACUUUUAGUUUUCGCACUCUAACUUUAGUAAAAGUAAAUAGAAAUCUAUGAAAUUUUAACACAAGGUUUAUGACCACAAAAAGGAAGGUUGGGAUUGAUUUUUGGAGUUUUGGUCCCAACAUUUUAGGAAUUAGGGGCCAAAAAGGGCCCAAAUAAGCAUUUUCUUGGUUUUCGCACUAUAACUUUAGUUUAAGUAAAUUGAAAUCUAUGAAAUUUUGACACAAGGUUUAUGACCACAAAAGAAAGGUUGGGAUUGAUUUUGGGAGUUUUGGUUCCAACAGUUUAGGAGUUAGGGGCCAAAAAAGGGCCCAAAUAAGCAUUAUUCUUGGUUUUCGUACAAUAACUUUAGUAUAAGUAAAUAGAAAUCAAUGAAAUUUAAAUACAAGGUUUAUGAACACAAAAGGAAGGUUGGGAUUGAUUUUGGGAGUUUUGGUCCCAACAGUUUAGGAAUUAGGGGCCAAAAAGGGCCCAAAUAAGCAUUAUUCUUGGUUUUCGCACCAUAACUUUAGUAUAAGUAAAUAGAAAUCUAUGAAAUUUAAACACAAGGUUAAUGACCAUAAAAGGAAGGUUGGGUUUGAUUUUGGGAGGUUUGGUCCCAACAGUUUAGGAAUAAGGGGCCCAAAGGGUCCAAAAUUGAACUUUGUUUGAUUUCAUCAAAAAUUGAAUAAUUGGGGUUCUUUGAUAUGCCGAAUCUAACUGUGUAUAUAGAUUCUUAAUUUUUGGUCCCGUUUUCAAAUUGGUCUACAUUAAGGUCCAAAGGGUCCAAA
Molecule: long non-coding RNA, 869 nt
Filed under: Mytilus galloprovincialis (Mediterranean mussel)
Lineage: Eukaryota; Metazoa; Mollusca; Bivalvia; Mytilida; Mytilidae
Source: RNAcentral